ACAAUGCAAACUAAUGUAAGCCAAAUUAUUAGGUCAAUAAAUAUCAACGUAUUUUGGCAUAAUACAUAAACGUGCUGUUUAACUUAGCCUUAUUUGACAUCUACACCCUUCAACUUUUGAUUUGUACAAGUAGACACUAAACUUAUAUAAAGUUGAACAAGUAGACACACACGUACUCCUACGCAACAUAAUACAUGUAGAAUAGCAAAUUAUCAUGAAAGACGUGUGUGUCUACUUAUUCAUUAUAUACCUACUUGUCCACACCCAGAAUUGGAGAAUGAAGACGUAUGUCUACUUAUUUAACUUUAUAUAAGUUUAAGUGGCAGACCAAAUUAAAAUCACCAAUCAUGUUUAAGUUGAUUUCUAUAAAUACUCCAAUCCAAAACCAAAACCCCAUAAUCCCAUGAUUCUUCACUUCUUCAAGAACCCAUUCUUCUUACUCAUUCACCAAAUCCAUUAAUCUUUUUUGAUUCUCUGUUUCAUCACCUCCCACUUCAAUUCUUGCUCAUAAAAUCUCAUUAGACGCGAAUUUAUAGCCUAAAUAUAGAGUACGCGAACUCGUAGAAUCUUCAUAAAACUAGGUAUAUUAUGUAUAUAUUUUCUAAAAUUAGUAUAAUAUUAUCUGUUGACAUCCCUACUAUGGUGCACCUGAUUGAAUAUUGAGUUAUUUACCUAUAUCGAGAUGAAGUGUUCCUAACAAAGUUGACUUUGUACUCAAAACUCGAACCUAAGAAGGCUAAUCUUGUCCUUCCAUCAUAAUUCAAAAGGAGUUUGAGAGAAUGAGGUCGAAGAGGAGGAGGAAGAAGCAAAAGGAGUAGACACCACGCUCCAUGGCGAUCAUCACUCCAACGAUAAGGAUUUUUGACAGGAGACUCUUGGUGAAAGACAGAACAAUAUUAACAAAUGUAACGGGCAAUGAAAUAACAACUUCUGGUACUGCAUCAAGUCCAUCAGAAGGUGUAUUUCUUGGUGCAGAAUUCGAUCAAGACAACAAUCGACAUGUUGUGCCACUCGGAAAAUUACAAGAUGUACUGUUCUUUUCUUGUUUCAGAUUCAAACUAUGGUGGAUAGAUCAGAAAAUGGGAAACAGAGGAAGUGAAAUCCCAAUGGAAACACAAUUUCUCCUAGUCGAAAUCAAAUAUGGAUAUGAUCACCUCUAAUCUAGAGGCAGAGCCAGGGGAAUCCUGGAAGCCGGCCUCGAAAGUCUCAGCACCGGUGGUUUCCAGCCAAAAUUCAUCAUCAUUGACGACGGGUGGCACUCCGUUGGUGGUGGUGAUCCUGGUAAAGAUAUGGCACCUGGGCCUAACUCAACCCCAAAAGCUAGCUCAUGAGGAGAGGAUUGCCCAAGUCCAUAUAAGGAGACCACUAGUCCAUUCCGCAACCAAUGUGAAACUUUUACCCACUCUAACAAUUCCCAGGUCUAACAGGGAUAAAGGAAAAUGAAAAAUUUCGGAAUAAGGAAGAUCCAACGGUUGGGAUUAAAAAUAUUGUUAGUAUAGCUAAAGAGAAAUAUUUCGAAUAUGGUUGUUUGGUACGAAGGGAAAUAUGUUUCGAAAAAUAAUUUCUAAUUCUUUCAUGUUUUAAAUGUUGGAAAAUGAGUCAUACCUGAAGUAAGGAAAAUAUUUCUCAAAACUCGAUGACUUUUAUCCAACCGAUCGAUCCAAUAGUUCACAUUGCUAGUGUGGCAUACAACAAUGUGUUAGUUCCUUGGAGAAAUUAUGCAGCCUGAUCAUUGGACAUGUUCCACUCUCUUCAUCCAGCGGCUGAGUAUCAUGGCUCAGCGAGGGUGUUGAGUGGUGGACCUAUCUAUGUUAGGUUACUAGCCCGGACCUUU
This is a long non-coding RNA of Solanum tuberosum (potato), 1834 nucleotides long. RefSeq lists it as uncharacterized. Lineage: Eukaryota; Viridiplantae; Streptophyta; Magnoliopsida; Solanales; Solanaceae. The transcript has 3 exons. The record is from RefSeq and is a predicted model, not a curated record.